CCCUAUUGCCAGUACUUGUUGUCGACUCCAGUGUUCGAAUUUUAGGCUUUUUUUGUGGUGUAAUGAUAAUUUGAGAGGCACUAUCAAAGGGAGGCAUGUGAAGAGGCUUUUAACUUUUAUUAACUACGGUUGUAAGCUGUGAAAAGCACAAAUUUGAAAACAAUGAAUAAAUAAUGGAGAAAUGUGCUUCAAUUAUGGUUUAUAAAUGUAUCAGUCAAGUGAUUCAGUGUUAGUGACCACCACCACCCACCCACCCACCCACCACCAUGUAGUGGGUGUAUAGGGUUCGGUCCAGCAGUCUGCCCUGGUGCUCUGUGAGGUGAAGAGCUGCGUGUCCUGCUACUCUAAUCCUGCCGGUGUGGUGACUGUGACCUGCCCUGACCUGCCUGUGACCUGCCCUGACCUGCCCUGACCUGCCUGUGACCUGCUUUUGACCUGCCUUGACUUCCUCUGACACACAUGGUGAGCCGAGACCUUCCGAGACCUUCCAAGACCUUCCAAAAUCUGCCGUGACCCACAGAUGAAGAUGUAUAGAUUUAAGAAGUGCGAUGAUGCGACACAGACAGACAGACAGACAGACAGACAGGUGUGGGAUGAGUGCUGGCAUACUGAAGGUCAAGAGGUCAAGAGGUCAAGAGUCACGUGUUGAGUCGUAUGGGUCACCAGACAGGUCACCCACCUAACCCCACUCGGCCUGUCAGUUCAGCGGCAACACUCAUGGAAGAAUUUGCCGCAAGCUGUGCCUCUCUGUGCUUGUUAUCCGAACCUUGUGUCUAAUAUUGCCUUAAUGUUGUGUGUGUGUGUGUGUGUGUGUGUGUGAGAGAGAGAGAGAGAGAGAGAGAGAGAGAUUUUGUUACUCGUCAUGUCCCCUGUACCACUUGAAGACCUCCACCAGACCCCCUCUUAGUCACCCUUGUCAUGUCCCCUGUGCCACUUGAAGACCUCCACCAGACCCCCUCUUAGUCACCCUUGUCAUGUCCCCUGUGCCACUUGAAGACCUCCACCAGACCCCCUCUUAGUCACCCUUGUCAUGUCCCCUGUACCACUUGAAGACCUCCACCAGACCCCCUCUUAGUCACCCUUGUUGUGUCCCCUGUACCACUUGAAGACCUCCACCAGACCCCCUCUUAGUCACCCUUGUUGUGUCCCCUGUACCACUUGAAGACCUCCACCAGACCCCCUCUUAGUCACCCUUGUUGUGUCCCCUGUACCACUUGAAGACCUCCACCAGACCCCCUCUUAGUCACCCUUGUUGUGUCCCCUGUACCACUUGAAGACCUCCACCUGACCCCCUCUUAGUCACCUUUCUCUGAGAUACAAUAGUGUCUAGUCAUCCUUCCUAUGUCAUCCUUGUGUAAUCAGGAAUAAUUAUCAGCAUUUGUACUCCUCCUGUCUGUCUGUCUGUCUGUCUGUCUGUCUGUCUGUCUGUCUGCCUACCAGUUAAAAUGAUUUAUGUAGUCAGUUAUACUUGUGAAUACUGUGUGUGUGUGUGUGUGUAUAUAUGAAUUAAUGUUUAUUGUGAAGUAUCUGCCUGCCUGCUUGCAAAUUAAUUAUCAAUAUAGUUACUGUUUGUGUGUGUUUGUGUGUUAUAAAGCAAUCUUGUGUAUAUUAUUGAUUGUAUUCCACAUGUAUGGGCUGGCCAGACGUGAUGUACUGUGACAGCCAGAACCUUGACAUAUACUGCUUGAUAAAAUGAAAAUAAGCAAAAAUACAUGAAUAAAGUACAAAUUUUGAGCCGAAUUAAUGAGGACUCUCUCUCGUCUUUUUCAGAGGUGCGUACAUCUGCAAGUCACUCCAACCAACCUCUUAUAUCCUACCUUAUUCUGAUAUAUUAGGUUAGACUCAGUUAGGUUACUUAUAUUGGGGGCCUGUCUUCCUUACUAACCUAACCUAACCUAACCCAUUCCUUCCUUCUCGUCAAGCUGUUGGUGGGAGAAGCCCCAGGACUCUCAAGCGUGGGUUGAGUCACAACUGCGGGUGUGCUAGCUCACCUUGAAGUCCGACGGGGCUCACGUGUUGCAGUGUUGCAGUGUUGCAGUGUUGCAGAUCUUCACCCAAACAAGGGGAGUAUUGUUUUUUUGUGUUGUUUUGUAUAUAUAUAUAUUUUUUUGUGGGGGGAGGGAGUCUGGGGAUAGCUAUCUGCGGUGUGCGUCUGUGCGUGCGUCUGUGCGUGCGUCUGUGCGUGCGUCUGUGUGUGCGUCUGUGCGUGUGCGUCUGUGCACGUGCGUCUGUGUGCGUGCAUCUGUGUGUAUGUCUUUUUUUUGGUUGUGUGUGUGUGAAUUUUUUUUUGGUAUAAAUAUAUAGGUGGCAGGCCUUAGGUUAGGAUAUUUGACACAGAUUAAUAUAGAAGAUAGUUUAAGUUAGUUAUUAAUAUAGAAGAUGGUUUAAGUUAGUUAAGGGUUAAGUGAGGCAUAGAGAGAGAGAGAGAGAGAGAGGGAAGACAGAUAUUAAUAGAAUUAGCUUAUAUUUUUUUUAGGGUUUUAAGUAAGUAUCUAGGUGGCAGGUCAGAAUGAUAUAAUAUUUAACACAGAUUAAUAUAGAAGAUGGUUUUAAGUUAGUAUAUAUCAAAGGGUUAAGUGAGGCAUAGAGAGAGAGAGAUAGGGUUAUUAAUAGGAUGACAGGAGUAUAUAUGAAAGGGUUAAGUGAGGCAUAGAGAGAGAGAGAAAGGGUUAUUAAUAGGAUGACAGGAGUAUAUAUGAAAGGGUUAAGUGAGGCAUAGAGAGAGAGAGAGAGAAAGGGUUAUUAAUAGGAUGACAGGAGUAUAUAUGAAAGGGUUAAGUGAGGCAUAGAGAGAGAGAAAGGGUUAUUAAUAGGAUGACAGGAGUAUAUAUGAAAGGGUUAAGUGAGGCAUAGAAAGGGUUAUUAAUAGGAUUAGGUUGACGGGGUGUAUGAAUGUUUAACUCAGAUUAUAUUGAAUGUUUAUUUCUUUAUAAUCUGAGUGUAUGGCAUGUUGAGUAUUAGUAUGUUAUUUUUGUAGUGGUGGUAGUGGUGGUAGUGGUGGUGG
This is a long non-coding RNA of Scylla paramamosain (green mud crab), 3004 nucleotides long. RefSeq lists it as uncharacterized. The record is from RefSeq and is a predicted model, not a curated record. Lineage: Eukaryota; Metazoa; Arthropoda; Malacostraca; Decapoda; Portunidae. The transcript is spliced from 6 exons.